GUCAAACAGGAAUGGUUCCAAUUGUUUUUCCACCAUUCAUUUUAUCCAUCGUGGAUUUUGGAAACAAUUGAAAUAAGAGUUGUGUUUCAUGUAGGCUUAUCUUGGCGUGAUGUUUUGAUAACCAUGUAAAUCUCUCUCGGACAAGGUGACUUUUAUCAGUAUAUUCACCUCUAUUUACCCCUCAAAAAUGUAAUGCUAAUUAGCUGCUAAUGUGGCUAUCAUACAGAAUUACAAAUGCCUGUCUCAAGCUUCACGUCACUCACCAGGGCCAUGAUGAUCUGGACAAGACUGCCGAAUCGAGGCAAAGAACCAAUGGGUGUGCCUGAGUCUUAUCACCUCUCAACUAGGUUAGCUGUUUCAACCUGGAACAGUAUUCCAGGUUUAUAUAUAGCGCAUGCUCCACUCAAGUUAAAGUUGAACUUGUUGACUGAUGCCAUGGCGGCGGCUGCUAAAAAGAAGGGAGCAGCUGCGAACCAGAAGACUGCAUCCAGGGCAGCCCUGGUCCACACCUGCCCUGUUUGUCAGAGGCAGACCCGAAGACAUUCAAGCAGCACUUUGAGAGCAAGGAUUCCAAGCCUCCAAUGGCCCCAGUACUGGUUGAUGUGCAGGCCUAUGUAACCACACACACUCAAAUGGACCUACAGCUGGGACACACGAUGACCAGGAUUUGAGUGCUGCAACUGAAACGGAAUGACGUCAAGGGACACGCUGAGACCCUGAGUAUGACAGGACAUGGGGCGGAUAUUUGUGACAACGAUUUAAAAGGGGUGCAGGCACACUAGCACCCCAUUUCUAUCUUUAUUCCAUGACCAAUCUUCUCUCUAGCUACCCCUUAUUCCACACUAUGCCUUUUAUGCCCCAUGGUCCCUCAACUUUGGACACUUUGGAACUUUCCAUCUUAUCUCUAUACACGCAGCCUACCUUCACCCAUUUUCCCUAUGCUGCUUUCUUCACUUGUUGUUCCUCUGAUUUGAUAACAUCUAGACUCAGUAACAUGUUUAAAAGUUUUGUGGUGUACUGUUUUUCUACCCUUUUCUCCUGUGUAGUGCUGUCCUCCUGCUUUUCUGGGGUUCAGACUGAAUGCAGUGGUAAAUGUGCUGCUCACAAAUGACAGCAGCAACAUGGACCUGUUCAAUUGACAAGAAGGGUGUUGAUAUAGCUGUGUUUAAAGAUGGCUUCCUUGUUUUGAGUCUGUUAAUUGUGUUUCUCCUUCUGCUGGAGUUGAUCUAGUAUUUUCUAUAAAACCUACCUUAGGCAUUA
This is a long non-coding RNA of Salvelinus sp. IW2-2015, 1260 nucleotides long. RefSeq lists it as uncharacterized. Lineage: Eukaryota; Metazoa; Chordata; Actinopteri; Salmoniformes; Salmonidae. The record is from RefSeq and is a predicted model, not a curated record.